UCCCUGGUGGCUCAGACGGUAAAGCAUCUGCCUGCAAUGCGGGAGACCCAGGUUUGAUGCCUGGGUUGGGAG
RNAcentral lists this transfer RNA (72 nucleotides) under Ovis aries (sheep). It matches the Rfam family "tRNA". From Rfam's summary of the family: Transfer RNA (tRNA) molecules are approximately 80 nucleotides in length. Their secondary structure includes four short double-helical elements and three loops (D, anti-codon, and T loops). The record is from Rfam by way of RNAcentral. Lineage: Eukaryota; Metazoa; Chordata; Mammalia; Artiodactyla; Bovidae.